GUGCCAGCAGCCGCGGUAAUACAGAGGGUGCAAGCGUUGUUCGGAAUUAUUGGGCGUAAAGGGAGUGUAGGCGGCUCUUUAAGUCUUCUGUGAAAUCUACGGGCUUAACCUGUAACGUGCAGAGGAUACUGAGGAGCUUGAGUGUCGGAGAGGAUAGUGGAAUUCCCGGUGUAGAGGUGAAAUUCGUAGAGAUCGGGAGGAACACCAGUGGCGAAGGCGACUGUCUGGCUGACAACUGACGCUGAGACUCGAAAGCAUGGGGAGCAAACAGGAUUAGAUACCCUGGUAGUCC
This 292-nucleotide ribosomal RNA is filed under the name uncultured bacterium. Its description in RNAcentral is "partial 16S ribosomal RNA". It matches the Rfam family "Bacterial small subunit ribosomal RNA", at positions 505 to 796 of the family's 1533-position model. The record is from RNAcentral.